AUGCCUCGAUCUCUUCUCCUUGGCCGGAGCAUCGCCAUCCCCGCCGCCCUUCUCCUCCGUCCUCUUCCUCUUUGUCUGUUGUGUUGCUGCCACAUCAGCCUCAGCCUCAGCCUCAGCCUCAGGAGCAACGGCAGCAGCAACGUCCUCAAUCCCCUGGUAGAUGACAAACUCAGGGAGCUCCAUUGGACACCUCAACCGGUUGAAAGACCUGAGCUGCGCCAUGGCGGUGGCAAGGUCGAGACGAUCGGCGCCGGCCAGCGGGCUUCUGCCCAGCGCCGAAAUGUAGUCGACGAACGGCUUGGCACGGAACGAGUCCCUCAUGUACACCUCGUCCACCACGGCGCCGUACGCCCCCUCCCUGAUCCCGGUGUUCUGAAUCUGCUGCUUCCUGGCGACGGUGGGCGGGGAGCAGGAGCAGGAGAGGCCGGCCUCGAUGCGGCGGGUGACCUCCUGCAGCGCGGCGUCGACGGCGGCGACGUAGCUGGAGACGGUGCUCUGGGCGGCGAGGCGGGGGAAGUGGGCGCGGAAGGGGCGCAGCACGGAGGGGUCCAUCCAGGCGAAGGUCCGGUCCCAGAAGUAGGCGACGAGGGGCGCGCCGGGCCUGGCGUGCCGGAGCGCGAGCUCGGAGGCGUCGGCGGCGUCGAAGACCUGGGCCGGCCACCAGGGGUGGCUCCGCACCUUGCACCACACCACGUCGGGCGGCGCGAACCCCUGCUGCCCCUCCUUCUCCUCGUCCUGGAACGGGCAGUCGUACCGCGGCCGCGCGCCGGCGUCGUCCUCCUGCUCGCCGCCGCCCUCCUUGUGCAGCUUGGCGCGGCCGCGGCGGGGGCUCUUGAGGACCUCCUCCACCUCCGGGCGCAUGACGCGGAUGCGCGAUGGGCGGGCGGGGGCCGGCCCCUCGCCCUCGGGGGCCUGCGCGGCCAUGGCGGCGCCGCCGCUGCGCGAAAAGAAGCAACAAGGACGGGUUAG
This 969-nucleotide ribosomal RNA is filed under the name Triticum aestivum (bread wheat). Its description in RNAcentral is "partial small subunit ribosomal RNA". Lineage: Eukaryota; Viridiplantae; Streptophyta; Magnoliopsida; Poales; Poaceae. The record is from RNAcentral.